Molecule: long non-coding RNA, 1252 nt
Organism: Eufriesea mexicana
Lineage: Eukaryota; Metazoa; Arthropoda; Insecta; Hymenoptera; Apidae
Exons: 4
Source: RefSeq, a predicted model, not a curated record
GAUCAGACAGCUGAGGAAAUAAAAAGAUUGGCAGCAUUAAAAGAAAAUCCAUCUGUCAAGAAGUUAAAAAGUACUCAUAUGCUCAGGCAAUGGAGGUGAGUUUGUGGAACAAUACUUCCAGGUUUGGUUACAUCGAAAGGAAAUAAAAUAUGAUUUGAUUCCAUCCAAGAUACCACAGUACAAUGGAGUUGCUGAGAGGAAGAACAAAUUCAACAUAGAGAUGACAAGGGAACUUAUGAUGGAUUAAGAAUUUAGACUUUGGAACGUAGGCCACGUAUUUGAAUGCGUAGAACAAAAUUCGAGAAGGAAAUUGGAAGUGUCAAUGGAUGAAAGGGUCAAGAUGGAUAUCAAUUUUAGAAAUUUAUAGUGAUCUUCAUGCUGUAAUCUCAAAGUUUAUAUGAACGUUCAAUGAAAGAACCAAGAAAUAUAGAAAAGUACAAACACGAUUGGUUAACAAACAAUGUGUAGGUACAAAAUCUGAUAGUUUCAACCAGAGAGGAGAUCUUAUUAAUUGAGGUACCAACAUGUACAUCAAGUCAUGAAAUAUGGGUAAAAUUCAACAAUAUCUAUGAUAAGGAUAAUAACAGAAAAGAUAUUCCGUUACAAAGGAAUUUUUCAUGUAUAAAUAUAAAUUUGAACGUGAUAUUAUAAUACACAUUGCGUGUCAGUCCGAAAUAAGAAAAGGGAAUAGAUAAUCUCAAAACUGAAUUGACUGCAAAGGAAGCAAGGGGAAAAGCAGGUCUGCAGCCUUCAAACCUCAAGAGAAGAGGUGUUUCAAGUACAAUUCCAUUAGACAUCUUGCAUAUGAUUAAGAGGAAAAGACGAGGUUUAAGACGUAUACUCUCCACGUGGGACAUGUAAGAAGUCCAAUUAUUUGGAAAAAAUCAUUCUGAUAUAUGUGUUGGCCUAUGGAACUGGAGACAUGGAACAGAAAUAGGUAUGUGAUGAUAGUCUUAGAUUUUACUAAUUUUGUGAGGAUUUCUGUUAUGGAAUCAAAUACUGAUGCAUGACAAAAAUUGUAUAAGUAUGUUACAGCAGUAGGAGCAAAGUGGAAUAACAUACAGAUUUAGAUGCGAUAAUGGAAGCAGGAGGGGUUACCAGUCGAAAAUUCAAGAAUUGGUGAAGACAGAUAGUAAUUAUACUAGAUUAUACGACACUGUAUACACCUCAACUGAAUGGAAAGACUUAAUCGAACAUUACUGAAUAAAACACGAGCAUUCCUGUAGGACUGAAAUGGAAAGGAAAUUGUGGA